RNAcentral lists this ribosomal RNA (832 nucleotides) under Pseudomonas putida. Its description in RNAcentral is "bacterial SSU rRNA". It matches the Rfam family "Bacterial small subunit ribosomal RNA", at positions 32 to 859 of the family's 1533-position model. Lineage: Bacteria; Pseudomonadati; Pseudomonadota; Gammaproteobacteria; Pseudomonadales; Pseudomonadaceae. The record is from RNAcentral.
GACGCUGGCGGCAGGCCUAACACAUGCAAGUCGAGCGGAUGAGAAGAGCUUGCUCUUCGAUUCAGCGGCGGACGGGUGAGUAAUGCCUAGGAAUCUGCCUGGUAGUGGGGGACAACGUUUCGAAAGGAACGCUAAUACCGCAUACGUCCUACGGGAGAAAGCAGGGGACCUUCGGGCCUUGCGCUAUCAGAUGAGCCUAGGUCGGAUUAGCUAGUUGGUGAGGUAAUGGCUCACCAAGGCGACGAUCCGUAACUGGUCUGAGAGGAUGAUCAGUCACACUGGAACUGAGACACGGUCCAGACUCCUACGGGAGGCAGCAGUGGGGAAUAUUGGACAAUGGGCGAAAGCCUGAUCCAGCCAUGCCGCGUGUGUGAAGAAGGUCUUCGGAUUGUAAAGCACUUUAAGUUGGGAGGAAGGGCAUUAACCUAAUACGUUAGUGUUUUGACGUUACCGACAGAAUAAGCACCGGCUAACUCUGUGCCAGCAGCCGCGGUAAUACAGAGGGUGCAAGCGUUAAUCGGAAUUACUGGGCGUAAAGCGCGCGUAGGUGGUUUGUUAAGUUGGAUGUGAAAGCCCCGGGCUCAACCUGGGAACUGCAUCCAAAACUGGCAAGCUAGAGUACGGUAGAGGGUGGUGGAAUUUCCUGUGUAGCGGUGAAAUGCGUAGAUAUAGGAAGGAACACCAGUGGCGAAGGCGACCACCUGGACUGAUACUGACACUGAGGUGCGAAAGCGUGGGGAGCAAACAGGAUUAGAUACCCUGGUAGUCCACGCCGUAAACGAUGUCAACUAGCCGUUGGAAUCCUUGAGAUUUUAGUGGCGCAGCUAACGCA